This 301-nucleotide ribosomal RNA is filed under the name uncultured bacterium. Its description in RNAcentral is "partial 16S ribosomal RNA". It matches the Rfam family "Bacterial small subunit ribosomal RNA", at positions 509 to 807 of the family's 1533-position model. The record is from RNAcentral.
CAGCCGCCGCGGUAAUACGUAGGUGGCAAGCGUUGUCCGGAAUUAUUGGGCGUAAAGGGCUCGCAGGCGGUUUCUUAAGUCUGAUGUGAAAGCCCCCGGCUCAACCGGGGAGGGUCAUUGGAAACUGGGAAACUUGAGUGCAGAAGAGGAGAGUGGAAUUCCACGUGUAGCGGUGAAAUGCGUAGAGAUGUGGGGGAACACCAGUUGCGAAGGCGAUUCUCUGGUCUGUAACUGACGCUGAGGAGCGAAAGCGUGGGGAGCGAACAGGAUUAGAUACCCCAGUAGUCCCUGUCUCUUAUAC